RNAcentral lists this ribosomal RNA (1456 nucleotides) under Streptococcus thermophilus. RNAcentral describes it as "bacterial SSU rRNA". It matches the Rfam family "Bacterial small subunit ribosomal RNA". The record is from RNAcentral. Lineage: Bacteria; Bacillati; Bacillota; Bacilli; Lactobacillales; Streptococcaceae.
CGCUGGCGGCGUGCCUAAUACAUGCAAGUAGAACGCUGAAGAGAGGAGCUUGCUCUUCUUGGAUGAGUUGCGAACGGGUGAGUAACGCGUAGGUAACCUGCCUUGUAGCGGGGGAUAACUAUUGGAAACGAUAGCUAAUACCGCAUAACAAUGGAUGACACAUGUCAUUUAUUUGAAAGGGGCAAUUGUUCCACUACAAGAUGGACCUGCGUUGUAUUAGCUAGUAGGUGAGGUAAUGGCUCACCUAGGCGACGAUACAUAGCCGACCUGAGAGGGUGAUCGGCCACACUGGGACUGAGACACGGCCCAGACUCCUACGGGAGGCAGCAGUAGGGAAUCUUCGGCAAUGGGGGCAACCCUGACCGAGCAACGCCGCGUGAGUGAAGAAGGUUUUCGGAUCGUAAAGCUCUGUUGUAAGUCAAGAACGGGUGUGAGAGUGGAAAGUUCACACUGUGACGGUAGCUUACCAGAAAGGGACGGCUAACUACGUGCCAGCAGCCGCGGUAAUACGUAGGUCCCGAGCGUUGUCCGGAUUUAUUGGGCGUAAAGCGAGCGCAGGCGGUUUGAUAAGUCUGAAGUUAAAGGCUGUGGCUCAACCAUAGUUCGCUUUGGAAACUGUCAAACUUGAGUGCAGAAGGGGAGAGUGGAAUUCCAUGUGUAGCGGUGAAAUGCGUAGAUAUAUGGAGGAACACCGGUGGCGAAAGCGGCUCUCUGGUCUGUAACUGACGCUGAGGCUCGAAAGCGUGGGGAGCGAACAGGAUUAGAUACCCUGGUAGUCCACGCCGUAAACGAUGAGUGCUAGGUGUUGGAUCCUUUCCGGGAUUCAGUGCCGCAGCUAACGCAUUAAGCACUCCGCCUGGGGAGUACGACCGCAAGGUUGAAACUCAAAGGAAUUGACGGGGGCCCGCACAAGCGGUGGAGCAUGUGGUUUAAUUCGAAGCAACGCGAAGAACCUUACCAGGUCUUGACAUCCCGAUGCUAUUUCUAGAGAUAGAAAGUUACUUCGGUACAUCGGUGACAGGUGGUGCAUGGUUGUCGUCAGCUCGUGUCGUGAGAUGUUGGGUUAAGUCCCGCAACGAGCGCAACCCCUAUUGUUAGUUGCCAUCAUUCAGUUGGGCACUCUAGCGAGACUGCCGGUAAUAAACCGGAGGAAGGUGGGGAUGACGUCAAAUCAUCAUGCCCCUUAUGACCUGGGCUACACACGUGCUACAAUGGUUGGUACAACGAGUUGCGAGUCGGUGACGGCGAGCUAAUCUCUUAAAGCCAAUCUCAGUUCGGAUUGUAGGCUGCAACUCGCCUACAUGAAGUCGGAAUCGCUAGUAAUCGCGGAUCAGCACGCCGCGGUGAAUACGUUCCCGGGCCUUGUACACACCGCCCGUCACACCACGAGAGUUUGUAACACCCGAAGUCGGUGAGGUAACCUUUUGGAGCCAGCCGCCUAAGGUGGGACAGAUGA